Molecule: long non-coding RNA, 285 nt
Organism: Arabidopsis thaliana (thale cress)
Lineage: Eukaryota; Viridiplantae; Streptophyta; Magnoliopsida; Brassicales; Brassicaceae
Product: other RNA
Exons: 1
Source: RefSeq
UGUAGCCGCAUCAUGCACCACACUGCGACAUUUCUUUCUCCCCGAAUCUUCCCGGAUAAUCCUUAAAUCUCUUCACUCUUUUAAUUGGCACUUUUUUUGAAUCUUUUUGUGGUCUCUAAUUAGACAUAUUUCUAUUACUAGGAUGUUUAAAAUAAUUAACAUGACACGUUAUAGAGACUUGAGAAUUAAACAAUAAUCAUAAAAGAACUUCUAAACCAAACAUAAUGACCGUCUCUCAAAACACUCUAUCUUUGGUAUAUUCCUAUGAUAUGAAAAUUGGAAAGU